This 465-nucleotide ribosomal RNA is filed under the name Vreelandella stevensii. RNAcentral describes it as "partial 16S ribosomal RNA". It matches the Rfam family "Bacterial small subunit ribosomal RNA", at positions 338 to 795 of the family's 1533-position model. The record is from RNAcentral. Lineage: Bacteria; Pseudomonadati; Pseudomonadota; Gammaproteobacteria; Oceanospirillales; Halomonadaceae.
CCUACGAGCGGCAGCAGUGGGGAAUAUUGGACAAUGGGGGCAACCCUGAUCCAGCCAUGCCGCGUGUGUGAAGAAGGCCCUCGGGUUGUAAAGCACUUUCAGUGAGGAAGAACGCCUGGUGGUUAAUACCCAUCAGGAAAGACAUCACUCACAGAAGAAGCACCGGCUAACUCCGUGCCAGCAGCCGCGGUAAUACGGAGGGUGCGAGCGUUAAUCGGAAUUACUGGGCGUAAAGCGCGCGUAGGUGGCUUGAUAAGCCGGUUGUGAAAGCCCCGGGCUCAACCUGGGAACGGCAUCCGGAACUGUCAAGCUAGAGUGCAGGAGAGGAAGGUAGAAUUCCCGGUGUAGCGGUGAAAUGCGUAGAGAUCGGGAGGAAUACCAGUGGCGAAGGCGGCCUUCUGGACUGACACUGACACUGAGGUGCGAAAGCGUGGGUAGCAAACAGGAUUAGAUACCCUUGUAGUC